This is a long non-coding RNA of Ananas comosus (pineapple), 1266 nucleotides long. RefSeq lists it as uncharacterized. The record is from RefSeq and is a predicted model, not a curated record. Lineage: Eukaryota; Viridiplantae; Streptophyta; Magnoliopsida; Poales; Bromeliaceae. The transcript has 6 exons.
UAAAGUUAAUAGCUUUUUCUUUACAAAUUUCAGAACCAUAUUGGUGUUAUAGAUGGUAUAUAUAUUCGUAUAAAAAUCUCGACAAGUUUGUAAGAACUAUAUCGUAAUAGAAAACAAACUUUGUUAUAAAAUGUUAUGGUUGCUUAUGAUUUUGAUCUUCAUUUUGUAUAUGUAGGGCUGAGAAGGAUCGGCUUCUGAUGUGAGGAUAUUAUAAGAUUCACUUGACAACGAUUUUGAGGUUCCACCACUACAGAAAAAGUAGCUUGUAGCUACGCUUUUUUGCCGAUGCAUGCGUAGCGGGUCGGCACUUUUAACCAUCUGUCGUUAAUAUUGCGACUGUAACGCCUCGUGUCGCCAAGUUCCUGUGCGGGAACUUUUUCCCGUUCGCGCCUUGGGGUCCAGAGCAAAAAAAAUCUUCCAAAACCCACUUCUUUUUCCCCCGAAACCACAAAACCCACUUAUUUUUUCCCCGAAACCACAAAACCCACUUUUUUUUUCCCCCAAAACCACCAGAUUCUCCUCCUCUCUCUAGCUCUAUCCCUCUCCCUCUAUUAUUAGCAAAAACAGAGGGAAAGGUCGUCGCCGUUAGCCCUCACCGCGGCCGUCGCCAUUCGCCCUCAUCGCGGCCGUCGCCCUCACUGCGGCCGUCGCCAUUGCCGUCGCCGUUGCCGUCGUCGUCACUGUCGCCGUUGCUGCCGACUCUCCCUCGCUGCUCCAGUCGCCGCCGACUCUGCUUUCGCUUUGGAUUGUAGUUGCCCUAACUCUGCUUCCACCCCCUUCUUCUCCAAGGAAGAGCAAAGGCACUCAAGAAUUAGGGCUAAAUCUUUUUAAGUACGAAGCAUGCAUAUUGGAGGAUUUUUGCAAUCUUCAACUGAAAAAUACAACCUUUGGCUACUUGCUAUGGACUAAGAUAUCAUUCUAUAAUUGCAGUCCACAUUGGAGGAUGUUCACGGACUUUUGCCGGAGGCUGAGGAUCAUGAAGGGUUCAGAGGCACUUGGACUUGGAUAAUGUGAAACAUCAAACUCAUUUUCUAUCACGCAAACUAGCAAAAGUUGUCUUGUUGAGUAUGGAAGUUGUUGCUCAGUCAAUGGGAUCUAAGACUCACAUUCAUAAUUAAAAGAUCCUGUUCAAGAUCCAGAUCUUCCAAGCGUUCGGCGAGUUCGAGUUCCUAGCUCUAAUUUUGAACAAUGGUUCGAUCGAAAAGAUUGAGGGAUCAUGAAGUCACAAAUCUUGUGCUGGAUGAAUCUCAAACAAAUGGUGAUGAC